This 581-nucleotide ribosomal RNA is filed under the name uncultured bacterium. Its description in RNAcentral is "partial 16S ribosomal RNA". It matches the Rfam family "Bacterial small subunit ribosomal RNA", at positions 355 to 926 of the family's 1533-position model. The record is from RNAcentral.
UGGGGAAUAUUGGACAAUGGGCGCAAGCCUGAUCCAGCAAUGCCGCGUGUGUGAAGAAGGCCUUCGGGUUGUAAAGCACUUUUAUCAGGAGCGAAACGCUGUCGGCUAAUACCCGGCGGAACUGACGGUACCUGAGGAAUAAGCACCGGCUAACUUCGUGCCAGCAGCCGCGGUAAUACGAAGGGUGCAAGCGUUAAUCGGAAUUACUGGGCGUAAAGCGUGCGUAGGCGGUUUCUUAAGUCUGCUGUGAAAUCCCCGGGCUCAACCUGGGAAUGGCAGUGGAUACUGGGAGGCUAGAGUGUGUCAGAGGGUGGUGGAAUUCCCGGUGUAGCGGUGAAAUGCGUAGAGAUCGGGAGGAACAUCAGUGGCGAAGGCGGCCACCUGGGACAACACUGACGCUGAGGCACGAAAGCGUGGGGAGCAAACAGGAUUAGAUACCCUGGUAGUCCACGCCCUGAAACGAUGCGAACUGGAUGUUGGUCUCAACUCGGAGAUCAGUGUCGAAGCUAACGCGUUAAGUUCGCCGCCUGGGGAGUACGGUCGCAAGACUGAAACUCAAAGGAAUUGACGGGGUCAUAGCU